RNAcentral lists this ribosomal RNA (253 nucleotides) under uncultured bacterium. Its description in RNAcentral is "partial 16S ribosomal RNA". It matches the Rfam family "Bacterial small subunit ribosomal RNA", at positions 524 to 776 of the family's 1533-position model. The record is from RNAcentral.
UACGUAGGGUGCGAGCGUUAAUCGGAAUUACUGGGCGUAAAGCGUGCGCAGGCGGUUCGUUAAGUUCGUUGUGAAAGCCCCGGGCUCAACCUGGGAACUGCAAUGGAAACUGGCGGGCUUGAGUGUGGCAGAGGGGGGUGGAAUUCCACGUGUAGCGGUGAAAUGCGUAGAGAUGUGGAGGAACGCCAAUGGCGAAGGCAGCCUUCUGGGCCAACACUGACGCUCAUGCACGAAAGCGUGGGGAGCAAACAGG